Molecule: unclassified non-coding RNA, 459 nt
Filed under: Hevea brasiliensis (rubber tree)
Lineage: Eukaryota; Viridiplantae; Streptophyta; Magnoliopsida; Malpighiales; Euphorbiaceae
Source: RNAcentral
GCUACCACUUCUCUCAUCCUGCUGCUUCUCCUUAACUUUGUGCUUCUGACGUUUAUGGCGAUGACUCUUACUUCGGUCCUUUUCCUUGGUCUUCUUAGGUCUGUCCUUUUUCUUGUGCCUCUUUGAAUGAUUUGAUGUUUCAUGCUCACUGUCAGAUGAACUGUCACUCCUUGAGUAGUAAGAAUCAGAGGAGGAAUCAUAAGAAUCCGAGGAGUGGUGGCGUUUACGGCGUCGUUUGGAGUCGGACUUACUACUCUUCUUCCGGAUCUUAAGAGCCUCUUUAUUUCUGUCCCUGUCUCGGCGGUUGCGGUGACGGCGACGGUACCGAGACGAGGAUGAGUCCGACGAUGAGGCCGAAUCGGAUGUGUGGGAGGAAAUAGAAGACGAUGAGACGGCCAUUAAUCAGAGAAGGAGAGAGAAGGACGACGAAAGGGUUUUGCUUAAGAUUUGUGAGAUUUG